AAAAAAGACUUGACUUCACUUUAAACUAAAAAAAAAUUGUUACGAACAUUUACGACCAUAUUACUUCCAAUUGCAAAACUCGACUGUAUUCUGUGGAAUAAUUCACAAAAUAAAUUUGUCAUCUCCGCACCAGAGAGCAGUGAAAUUGAAUCAGUUUAUGUUCGAACGUAAUUGAGUUAAGACCUGGGUAAUAUUUCAUUCAGAAAAUUGAGUUAGACACAAAAAAUCUGUGAGCAAAAAUGGUGAAACUGGUGAAAAUCAAGUGGUUUUUUAUGAUGGUCUUGCUACUCGCAAGCCUUUGCUUGGUGGAAUCGAAAAGAGGUUCGGUCAGAGGCUCGAUAACGCUAUCAAAUCGUCGAAACACAGUCAGACGUAAGACGUAAAGCACCGACCGACGAGCCAAAGACAAAGAAAGAAAUGUUCAUCAAGCAGCAGCAACAUAGAAUUCACUAUUAAAAAAGACCAUAAAACAAUAACGCCAUCCGAACAUCAGCAAUGCAAAGAAAUGAUCUUCCACACCCCCAGAACCAGUGACUUUACCUUCAGGCAACUGUAUAGUGAACAUUCAACUUUGAUUUUAUUUAAAGAAAAAGAAAAAUUAUUUUAUUCGGUCUAGACCGAAAAUGUUAAGUGAAUUAUAAUUUGAGUUUUAAUAAUUUUAUUUGCUAAAAUAAAAAUGAAAUAAAAAGGA
This is a long non-coding RNA of Bradysia coprophila, 691 nucleotides long. The record is from RefSeq and is a predicted model, not a curated record. NCBI's taxonomy places the organism in Eukaryota, Metazoa, Arthropoda, Insecta, Diptera, Sciaridae.